UAGAUGGUCUCAUACUCU
This 18-nucleotide small nuclear RNA is filed under the name Arabidopsis thaliana (thale cress). Its description in RNAcentral is "snRNA_16475". Lineage: Eukaryota; Viridiplantae; Streptophyta; Magnoliopsida; Brassicales; Brassicaceae. The record is from RNAcentral.